RNAcentral lists this small nucleolar RNA (99 nucleotides) under Castor canadensis (American beaver). Its description in RNAcentral is "Small nucleolar RNA SNORA31 (ENSCCNG00000013344.1)". Lineage: Eukaryota; Metazoa; Chordata; Mammalia; Rodentia; Castoridae. The record is from RNAcentral.
CUGCUGCUAAGGUUUUCACUACAGAUGCAAGAAAAAAGUGUCCUUGCACUUUCUGUCUGUCUGAUUGUGGCAGCCAAGAUUGAGUAGAGGAGUACAGGC